RNAcentral lists this ribosomal RNA (227 nucleotides) under uncultured bacterium. RNAcentral describes it as "partial 16S ribosomal RNA". It matches the Rfam family "Bacterial small subunit ribosomal RNA", at positions 28 to 252 of the family's 1533-position model. The record is from RNAcentral.
GAUUAACGCUAGCGGCAGGCCUAAUACAUGCAAGUCGAACGGCAGCACGGGUAGCAAUACCUGGUGGCGAGUGGCGCACGGGUGCGUAACGCGUAUGCAAUCUACCUAUAACUGGGAAGUAGCCUUCCGAAGGAAGAUUAAUACGCAUAAUAUCACGAGGCGGCAUCGUUUUGUUGAUCAAAUACUCCGGAGGUUAUAGAUGAGCAUGCGUGACAUAGUCUAGUUGG